CGGUAAUACGUAGGAUGGCAAGCGUGAUCCCGGAUUUAUUGGGCGUAAAGCGAGCGCAGGCGGUUUUUUAAGUCUGAUGUGAAAGCCCUCGGCUUAACCGAGGAAGCGCAUCGGAAACUGGGAAACUUGAGUGCAGAAGAGGACAGUGGAACUCCAUGUGUAGCGGUGAAAUGCGUAGAUAUAUGGAAGAACACCAGUGGCGAAGGCGGCUGUCUGGUCUGUAACUGACGCUGAGGCUCGAAAGCAUGGGUAGCGAACAGGAUUAGAUACCCUGGUAGUCCAUGCCGUAAACGAUGAAUGCUAGGUGUUGGAGGGUUUCCGCCCUUCAGUGCCGCAGCUAACGCAUUAAGCAUUCCGCCUGGGGAGUACGACCGCAAGGUUGAAACUCAAAGGAAUUGACGGGGGCCCGCACAAGCGGUGGAGCAUGUGGUUUAAUUCGAAGCAACGCGAAGAACCUUACCAGGUCUUGACAUCUUUUGAUCACCUGAGAGAUCAGGUUUCCCCUUCGGGGGCAAAAUGACAGGUGGUGCAUGGUUGUCGUCAGCUCGUGUCGUGAGAUGUUGGGUUAAGUCCCGCAACGAGCGCAACCCUUAUGACUAGUUGCCAGCAUUUAGUUGGGCACUCUAGUAAGACUGCCGGUGACAAACCGGAGGAAGGUGGGGAUGACGUCAAAUCAUCAUGCCCCUUAUGACCUGGGCUACACACGUGCUACAAUGGAUGGUACAACGAGUUGCGAGACCGCGAGGUCAAGCUAAUCUCUUAAAGCCAUUCUCAGUUCGGACUGUAGGCUGCAACUCGCCUACACGAAGUCGGAAUCGCUAGUAAUCGCGGAUCAGCACGCCGCGGUGAAUACGUUCCCGGGCCUUGUACACACCGCCCGUCACACCAUGAGAGUUUGUAACACCCGAAGCCGGUGGCGUAACC
RNAcentral lists this ribosomal RNA (924 nucleotides) under Lacticaseibacillus casei. Its description in RNAcentral is "bacterial SSU rRNA". It matches the Rfam family "Bacterial small subunit ribosomal RNA", at positions 518 to 1440 of the family's 1533-position model. Lineage: Bacteria; Bacillati; Bacillota; Bacilli; Lactobacillales; Lactobacillaceae. The record is from RNAcentral.